Phasianus colchicus (ring-necked pheasant) is the source of this 2805-nucleotide non-coding RNA. Lineage: Eukaryota; Metazoa; Chordata; Aves; Galliformes; Phasianidae. The record is from RefSeq and is a predicted model, not a curated record.
UCCCCCUCACACAAAGGCUUUACGCCGCCGCCCGGCCGGCACGCAACUUUCCCUGCCCCGCAGCGAACGGCGGCCGCCCGCCCCUCCCGCCUGACAGCGCCUUCCGCGCCGCUCCCCCGCAAAGUUUGCGGCCGGCCUCCUCCGAGCCGGGGAACGCCCGCAAUCCGACUCGGGGCCAUGUUGGGGUCGGCGGCGGCUCCGGCCAGCCCGGUGCUCCGAGCGCGGGACGGAGCGGCCGCGAACAAAGAACUUCUCGCCCCGCCGGCCCAGAACUGAAAGACUCAGAAGACAGUUUUCAAUGUUACAAUGAGUUAGCUUUGUUUCUACCUAGAUCCAGCGAGCAAAGGCGCACAAGAAAGCAUGCAGGGAUUUUGGGAAGAGGAGGCUAUGAUCUUCCCACCUUGCACCAUGCAAAGUCACAGAAGUGCUUUGUAGAAGUUUGUAUAUGAGUCCUGUGGUGCAAAACCAGCUGCCUUCAGCACCAAUGCUCCUGUGAACAGUCAACCCUAUCACUAGCAUUCUGAAGCCAAGCACGCUGCCAGUGUCAGAGGUGGAUGUUGGUGGUAUGGCAGUAGAAGCUGGAUCUUCCUGUCAGAAUUCCAUUGCACGUUGUUGCCAUGUGACGACCAGCAGCAGAUGCACCAACUGGCAAAAUGGCAUCUGACAUGAAAGUGGUAUGAAGCAAAGGGGUGUAACUGUAUUCCUCUUUGCAGAAGCAGUUGCACCCAUUGACAUUCAUCAACCCUUGCUGAAGGUUUAUGGGGACCAAAGAUGUGAGCACGGUGAGGCGUGCAGAAGAAGUGACAGCAAUGUGAAAGACACGCCAUGUUCCAGAUGUGCAGAUCUUUACGAGUGCAGCAUGCAGGCUCUUGCUUAUCUCUGGCAAAAAUGUGUAGUUAAUGGUGAUUAUGUUGAAAAAAAAGUGUUUAGUAGAUGAGAAUUUGCUCUAUCAAAUAGCAUUAUUGUGCUCUUUGUAUCUGUUGUAGUUUUCUUGGAAAUAUAUAGGAGGCGUUACUUUCAGAGCAACCUACUUAUAUUUGGCACCCAGCUGUUUUCCCCUUUUCAAAAUACUAGCUAGUAUGAGCAUAAACGGGAUCUAAACUACUUUCAUUUAAAUAUGGCUUUCUGGAUAUGCUGUGUACAGUACUGCUUGGUACAUAAUCACAGUAAAGAUACCAUCAUGGUGUUUGCAACCAAUAAAUUUGUGUCUCAUCUUUAUGAUAUGUGCUUAAAAACUAAAAUGAAACCAAAAUACAACUUAAAUCUCUUUAGUUCAUUUUGGUUAUUCAGUAUGGCAAAGAUUCCUUGGUGAAGAGAAUGCUGUAAAAAUAGAAACUGGUAGGCUAAGAAGUUUUACUUCAUGGCUUCAUAGGCAGGGAAGAUGCAGCAAAGGCAGAAUGGUAGCCAGUGCUCACACGGUUCUGGGAUCUUGAUUUUGAACAGAGAUAAAUAAGUACUCAUGAAAAGCCAUAUGAUGUAGAGGAAUGCUUGAGUGAAGAAUUGAAAGUCUGAGGACACUGUACGAGUGAAUUUAAGAAGGCUGAUGGGUACUUUUCAUUUCUGUAGAUGAAACAGAAGAAAUUUAUAUGCAGAAAGCAUAUACAUAUAAAUAAGAUUCAUAUCAUCACUAGAUGAGAGAACUCUACUUAUCUCUCACCAUAUACAACUUCAUGACUACCCACACCAUGGCCCAGGCUUAAAUAAGAUCAGCUAAUGUGUGGAACACACGAAACUAGAGAAACAAUGCUGGUAAACAGACAAGAGCUUUGUGUAGAAUUUAUACCCAUGAUAUUGUUUCUUUCCUCUAAACAUGUAUAUGUAGAUAACAUUUGGUCAGUGCAGAUGAAUGUUCUGAAGAGCUUCUUCACUCAUACUUAGGAGCAGCGUUCAUGUUUACUCCACUUAAAGAAGCUAAAAGCUCAUCCCUCAGUUUGGACUUCUCAUCUCGACAGUCUUGACAGCUGUGAUUUACCCCUGCUGGAACAGGUGACUAAAACAAGGUAGAUCAAUCAGUCUUUGGAAAUCCAGGGCUGUUUCAUCUUGCUGACUGCAAGGAAUUCACUGGAAGAGGAUAGGUGCAGGCACUCAGACCAAUCCCACCUGGGCUCUGACUUCCUGAGCAGAGCUUUCUUCCAUCUGUGCCUCUUUCCUGGCAGCCCAUGACCUCGACUCUGACUUUUUUGCAUCUGCCCUCUUUACCUCUGCCUGAUAAAAGUGCCCCAUACAGUAUUCCUACUAUGAUAACAUAAUAGAACCCUAUUCAUGAAGCCUCAACAGUAUAUACCACAAGGAAAACAAGCCCAUUCCUUGUCUUCUAUGCUUACUUCCUGAAGAAUCCCAAAGAACAUAGGAUUCCUCCACUUAGUGCAGCUGAAAAACCUACCAAAUGCUCAGAAGUGAUAACUGCAAUAAUAACAUCAUUCCUCAGACACUCUGGAGCCUAUUAGAGUGAACUUUGUUUGUAUAGGAAACUAGGGUAAUGCAGCACUGCAAAACAAUCUCCACUGUCUUCUGCUCCAACCACAAAGCUGCGAGCUUCUACCUGCCAUCUCCAUACAUGGAAGGGAAGAGAAGCACAAGCAGUUCAAAAUAUGCAGAAAACCUCCACCCAUCAAGGCAGACCUCCAAAGUCUGUGUGCGGUAAGACGGCGAACGGGGUUUACUUAUCUCCACAGAGCUUGGAAAAGGGUGAAGAUCAGUGGGCCAUAUUCUACAGCCCUUAUUCAGUUGCCAUUUUACUGCCUAAGUCUGGGAGACAUCAGUGAGGAAGCUUCUUUCAGCCAGAAAAGAUGAAUAAAGACUUCA